UACGUAGGGUGCAAGCGUUAAUCGGAAUUACUGGGCGUAAAGCGAGCGCAGGCGGUUGUGUAAGACAGAUGUGAAAUCCCCGGGCUUAACCUGGGAACUGCAUUUGUGACUGCACGGCUAGAGUGCGUCAGAGGGGGGUGGAACUCCACGUGUAGCAGUGAAAUGCGUAGAGAUGUGGAAGAACACCGAUGGCGAAGGCAGCCCCCUGGGAUGACACUGACGCUCAUGCUCGAAAGCGUGGGGAGCAAACAGGAUUAGAUACCCUGGUAGUCCACGCCCUAAACGAUGUCUACUAGUUGUCGGGCCUUGAUUGGCUUGGUAACGCAGCUAACGCGUGAAGUAGACCGCCUGGGGAGUACGGUCGCAAGAUUAAA
Molecule: ribosomal RNA, 374 nt
Filed under: uncultured bacterium
Lineage: Bacteria
Description: bacterial SSU rRNA
Rfam family: Bacterial small subunit ribosomal RNA
Source: RNAcentral